CGCACAUUGCGCCCUUUGGUAUUCCGAAGGGCAUGCCUGUUCGAGCGUCAUUAUCACCCCUCAAGCCCGGCUUGCUGUUGGUGGCGGCGCGGCCUCCGGGCCCUGCCCCGCCCAAAGAUAAUGACGGCGUCUGUGAGGACUCCUGUACACUGAGCUUUCGGGCACGUACACGGCUUAGGACUUCAGGCGCCGGUCGACGUUUCUGCCCCGCAGAAACACCCUUUUUUACCAAGGUUGACCUCGGAUCAGGUAGGGAUACCCGCUGAACUUAA
Molecule: unclassified non-coding RNA, 272 nt
Filed under: Cyphellophora sessilis
Lineage: Eukaryota; Fungi; Ascomycota; Eurotiomycetes; Chaetothyriales; Cyphellophoraceae
Description: partial contains 5.8S ribosomal RNA, internal transcribed spacer 2, and large subunit ribosomal RNA
Source: RNAcentral